This 565-nucleotide long non-coding RNA is filed under the name Ananas comosus (pineapple). Its description in RNAcentral is "long non-coding RNA (ACOM_LNC002241)". Lineage: Eukaryota; Viridiplantae; Streptophyta; Magnoliopsida; Poales; Bromeliaceae. The record is from RNAcentral.
CAGUACCGGAUGUUGGGAUUUCUCAACAGAAGCGUUGAAUCGGGUUUUUACCAUAAAUCCGUCUCCUCAGCAAAAGCUGUGUAACAUACCGGAUUUUAAUAUAAAAAAUUAAGAUAAAUAAAAAUAGUGUGAGAUACUAUUUUUAUUGGAUUUAGAGAAGUAAAACAUAAGUCGGAAAUGACUUGUGCUGAAAUCGGAACGAAAACAGAAGAUUUAGAAUUUUCUGUUGGAAACGGGGCUGAUAUUUUAGCAGAAAAUACACAGUGUCAGAAAAUUAUGAAAAUUGGAGAAUAUGUCAGAAUUAUUUUUAUGAGGCUAGAUUUAAAGUUUCAUAUCAUUCUGACACUCGAAAGGUGCAAAAUAAAAUCCGACUGCUAUCUGCUAGAGAUUAUAAUUCGGUAGAGCUUUCAGUGACCAAACAUGGUCGAAACUGAAAGAUUAAAUUUUUUUUGUACUUAUUAAGUAAAACCGAGGCUGACUGUCAAAUUUCAGCGCAAACGGACAUUCAGAAGGGUUCCGACGAAAAACGUCAGUUUGUAAGCUGCUAAUCUGCUAAUGUGAAUAU